AAGAACUUACCAGGUCUUGACAUCCCGAUGCUAUUCUAGAGAUAGAAAGUUACUUCGGUUACAUCGGUGACAGGUGGUGGCAUGGUUGUCGUCAGCUCGUGUCGUGAGAUGUUGGGUUAAGUCCCGCAACGAGCGCAACCCCUAUUGUUAGUUGCCAUCAUUCAGUUGGGCACUCUAGCGAGACUGCCGGUAAUAAACCGGAGGAAGUGGGGAUGACGUCAAAUCAUCAUGCCCCUUAUGACCUGGGCUACACACGUGCUACAAUGGUUGGUACAACGAGUUGCGAGUCGGUGACGGCGAGCUAAUCUCUUAAAGCCAAUCUCAGUUCGGAUUGUAGGCUGCAACUCGCCUACAUGAAGUCGGAAUCGCUAGUAAUCGCGGAUCAGCACGCCGCGGUGAAUACGUUCCCGGGCCUU
RNAcentral lists this ribosomal RNA (416 nucleotides) under uncultured Streptococcus sp. RNAcentral describes it as "bacterial SSU rRNA". It matches the Rfam family "Bacterial small subunit ribosomal RNA", at positions 965 to 1382 of the family's 1533-position model. Lineage: Bacteria; Bacillati; Bacillota; Bacilli; Lactobacillales; Streptococcaceae. The record is from RNAcentral.